CCUACGGGUGGCAGCAGUCGGGAAUAUUGGGCAAUGGGGGAAACUCUGACGCAGUGACGCCGCGUAUGGGAAGAAGGUCUUCGGAUUGUAAACUAUUGUCGUUCGGGAAGAAAAAAGACAGUACGUAAGGAGGAAGCUCCGGCUAACUACGUGCCAGCAGCGGCGGUAAAACGUCGGGAGCAAGCGUUAUCCGGAAUUAUUGGGUGUAAAGGGUGUGUAGACGGGAGGUUAAGUUAGUUGUGAAAUCCCUCGGCUCAACUCAGGAACUGCAACUAGAACUGGACAUCUUGAGUUUAGGAGAGGAAAGUGGAAUUCCUAGUGUAGCGGUGAAAUGCGUAGAUAUUAGGAAGAACACCAGUGGCGAAGGCGACUUUCUGGACUGUAACUGACGUUGAGGCACGAAAGUGUGGGGAGCAAACAGGAUUAGAUACCCUAGUAGUC
RNAcentral lists this ribosomal RNA (441 nucleotides) under uncultured bacterium. RNAcentral's name for it is "partial 16S ribosomal RNA". It matches the Rfam family "Bacterial small subunit ribosomal RNA", at positions 338 to 795 of the family's 1533-position model. The record is from RNAcentral.